RNAcentral lists this ribosomal RNA (483 nucleotides) under uncultured anaerobic ammonium-oxidizing bacterium. RNAcentral describes it as "bacterial SSU rRNA". It matches the Rfam family "Bacterial small subunit ribosomal RNA", at positions 363 to 836 of the family's 1533-position model. The record is from RNAcentral.
UUUUCGCAAUGCCCGAAAGGGUGACGAAGCGACGCCGCGUGGAUGAAGAAGGCCUUCGGGUUGUAAAAUCCUGUCAGGAGUUAAGAAAUAUAAGUUUGAUAAUACCAAAUUUAUUUGACAAAGGCUCCAGAGGAAGCCACGGCUAACUCUGUGCCAGCAGCCGCGGUAAUACAGAGGUGGCAAGCGUUGUUCGGAAUUAUUGGGCGUAAAGAGCACGUAGGUGGAUUUGUUAGUCAGAUGUGAAAGCCUUUCGUUCAACGGAAGAAUUGCAUCUGAAACUACAAACCUUGAGUAUAGGAGGGGAGAGUGGAACUUCUGGUGGAGCGGUGAAAUGCGUAGAUAUCAGAAGGAACGCCGGCGGCGAAAGCGACUCUCUGGCCUAUAACUGACACUGAGUGUGCGAAAGCUAGGGGAGCAAACGGGAUUAGAUACCCCGGUAGUCCUAGCCGUAAACGAUGGGCACUAAGUAGAGGGGUUUUAAUC